CAGGAGAAGCUGACGGACACGCCGCGUGAGUGAUGAAGGCUUUCGGGUCGUAAAACUCUGUUGUUAAGGAAGAACAAGUGCUAGUUGAAUAAUCUGGCACUUGACGGUACCUAACCAGAAAGCCACGGCUAACUACGUGCCAGCAGCCGCGGUAAUACAUAGGUGGCAAGCGUUAUCCGGAAUUAUGGGGCGUAAAGCGCGCGCAGGUGGUUUCUUAAGUCUGAUGUGAAAGCCCACGGCUCAACCGUGAAGGGUCAUUGGAAACUGGGAGACUUGAGUGCAGAAAAGGAAAGUGAAAUUCCAUGUGUAGCGGUGAAAUGCGUAAAGAUAUGGAGGAACACCAGUGGCAAAGGCGACUUUCUGGUCUGUAACUGACACUGAGGCGCGAAAGCGUGGGGAGCAAACAGGAUUAAAUACCCGGGUAGUCCACGCCGUAAACAAUGAGUGCUAAAUGUUAGAGGGUUUCCGCCCUUUAUUGCUGAAGUUAACGCAUUAAGCACUCCGCCUGGAGAGUACGGCCGCAAGGCUGAAACUCAAAGGAAUUGACGGGGGCCCGCACAAGCGGUGGAGCAUGUGGUUUAAUUCGAAGCAACGCGAAAAACCUUACCAGGUCUUGACAUCCUCUGAAAACCCUAGAGAUAGGGCUUCUCCUUCGAGAGCAGAGUGACAGGUGGUGCAUGUUUGUCGUCAUCUCGUGUCGUGAGAUGUUGGGUUAAGUCCCGCAACGAGCGCAACCCUUGAUCUUAUUUGCCAUCAUUAAGUUGGGCACUCUAAGGUGACUGCCGGUGACAACCGGAGGAAGGUGGGGAUGACGUCAAUCAUCAUGCCCCUUAUGACCUGGGCUACACACGUGCUACAAUGGACGGUACAAAGAGCUGCAAACCGCGAGGUGGAGCUAUCUCAUAAACCGUUCUCAGUCGGAUUGAAGCUGCACUCGCCACAUGAACUGGAACGCUAGUAUCGCGGAUCACAUGCCGGUGAUACGUCCCGGCCUUGUAACACCGCCGUCCACCCGAGAGUUGUACACCCGAAUCGGUGGGUAACCUUUUGGAGCAGCCCCUAAGGGGGACAGAUGGGGACGCC
This 1083-nucleotide ribosomal RNA is filed under the name Bacillus sp. (in: firmicutes). RNAcentral describes it as "bacterial SSU rRNA". It matches the Rfam family "Bacterial small subunit ribosomal RNA", at positions 372 to 1487 of the family's 1533-position model. The record is from RNAcentral. Lineage: Bacteria; Bacillati; Bacillota; Bacilli; Caryophanales; Bacillaceae.